CUUAUCAAGAGUGGUGGAGGGAACAGGCCCUAUGAUACCCGGCAACCUGCACAGUGUGCAAAGGUGCUAAAUCCUGCGGAUAAAACCGAGAGAUGAGG
This 98-nucleotide non-coding RNA is filed under the name Merdimmobilis hominis. RNAcentral's name for it is "SAM riboswitch (S box leader)". It matches the Rfam family "SAM riboswitch aptamer (S box leader)". From Rfam's summary of the family: The SAM riboswitch is found upstream of a number of genes which code for proteins involved in methionine or cysteine biosynthesis in Gram-positive bacteria. Lineage: Bacteria; Bacillati; Bacillota; Clostridia; Eubacteriales; Oscillospiraceae. The record is from RNAcentral.